GUGAUUGUAGCUCAAUCGGAAGAGCGUACGACUGUGAAUCGUAAGGUAGUGGGAUCGAAACCCACCUUUCACCC
Molecule: transfer RNA, 74 nt
Filed under: uncultured marine phage
Description: tRNA-His
Rfam family: tRNA
About the family: Transfer RNA (tRNA) molecules are approximately 80 nucleotides in length. Their secondary structure includes four short double-helical elements and three loops (D, anti-codon, and T loops). Further hydrogen bonds mediate the characteristic L-shaped molecular structure. tRNAs have two regions of fundamental functional importance: the anti-codon, which is responsible for specific mRNA codon recognition, and the 3' end, to which the tRNAs corresponding amino acid is attached (by aminoacyl-tRNA synthetases). tRNAs cope with the degeneracy of the genetic code in two manners: having more than one tRNA (with a specific anti-codon) for a particular amino acid; and 'wobble' base-pairing, i.e. permitting non-standard base-pairing at the 3rd anti-codon position.
Source: RNAcentral